This 519-nucleotide ribosomal RNA is filed under the name uncultured eukaryote. RNAcentral's name for it is "SSU rRNA". It matches the Rfam family "Eukaryotic small subunit ribosomal RNA", at positions 1161 to 1699 of the family's 1831-position model. The record is from RNAcentral.
AGGGCACCACCAGGAGUGGAGCCUGCGGCUUAAUUUGACUCAACACGGGAAAACUCACCCGGCCCGGACACUGGAAGGAUUGACAGAUUGAGAGCUCUUUCUUGAUUCAGUGGGUGGUGGUGCAUGGCCGUUCUUAGUUGGUGGAGUGAUUUGUCUGGUUAAUUCCGAUAACGAACGAGACUCUAGCCUACUAAAUAGAUCGUCGGCUUACAAACGCCGGCGAGACUUCUUAGAGGGACAGGCGGUGAUUCAACCGCACGAAACAGAGCAAUAACAGGUCUGUGAUGCCCUUAGAUGUCCGGGGCCGCACGCGCGCUACACUGAAGUGAUCAGCGUGCUUUUUCAACCUACUCUGUCAAGAGUGGGGAACCCAAUGAACCUUCUUCGUGAUUGGGAUAGGGGAUUGUAAUUAUUCCCCUUGAACGAGGAAUUCCCAGUAAGCGCGAGUCAUAAGCUCGCGUUGAUUACAUCCCUGCCCUUUGUACACACCGCCCGUCGCUACUACCGAUUGAAUGUUUU